Molecule: ribosomal RNA, 1487 nt
Filed under: Psychrobacter piechaudii
Lineage: Bacteria; Pseudomonadati; Pseudomonadota; Gammaproteobacteria; Moraxellales; Moraxellaceae
Description: bacterial SSU rRNA
Rfam family: Bacterial small subunit ribosomal RNA
Source: RNAcentral
AGUUUGAUCCUGGCUCAGAUUGAACGCUGGCGGCAGGCUUAACACAUGCAAGUCGAGCGGUAACAGGAGAAGCUUGCUUCUCGCUGACGAGCGGCGGACGGGUGAGUAAUACUUAGGAAUCUGCCCAGUAGUGGGGGAUAGCUCGGGGAAACUCGAAUUAAUACCGCAUACACCCUACGGGGAAAAGGGGGCACUUGUGCUCUCGCUAUUGGAUGAGCCUAAGUCGGAUUAGCUAGUUGGUGGGGUAAAGGCCUACCAAGGCGACGAUCUGUAGCUGGUCUGAGAGGAUGAUCAGCCACACCGGGACUGAGACACGGCCCGGACUCCUACGGGAGGCAGCAGUGGGGAAUAUUGGACAAUGGGGGCAACCCUGAUCCAGCCAUGCCGCGUGUGUGAAGAAGGCCUUUUGGUUGUAAAGCACUUUAAGCAGUGAAGAAGACUCUAUGGUUAAUACCCAUAGACGAUGACAUUAGCUGCAGAAUAAGCACCGGCUAACUCUGUGCCAGCAGCCGCGGUAAUACAGAGGGUGCAAGCGUUAAUCGGAAUUACUGGGCGUAAAGCGAGCGUAGGUGGCUUGAUAAGUCAGAUGUGAAAUCCCCGGGCUUAACCUGGGAACUGCAUCUGAUACUGUUAGGCUAGAGUAGGUGAGAGGGAGGUAGAAUUUCAGGUGUAGCGGUGAAAUGCGUAGAGAUCUGAAGGAAUACCGAUGGCGAAGGCAGCCUCCUGGCAUCAUACUGACACUGAGGUUCGAAAGCGUGGGUAGCAAACAGGAUUAGAUACCCUGGUAGUCCACGCCGUAAACGAUGUCUACUAGUCGUUGGGGAACUUGAUUCCUUAGUGACGCAGCUAACGCAAUAAGUAGACCGCCUGGGGAGUACGGCCGCAAGGUUAAAACUCAAAUGAAUUGACGGGGGCCCGCACAAGCGGUGGAGCAUGUGGUUUAAUUCGAUGCAACGCGAAGAACCUUACCUGGUCUUGACAUAUCUAGAAUCCUGCAGAGAUGCGGGAGUGCCUUCGGGAAUUAGAAUACAGGUGCUGCAUGGCUGUCGUCAGCUCGUGUCGUGAGAUGUUGGGUUAAGUCCCGCAACGAGCGCAACCCUUUUCCUUAGUUACCAGCGGUUUGGCCGGGGACUCUAAGGAUACUGCCAGUGACAAACUGGAGGAAGGCGGGGACGACGUCAAGUCAUCAUGGCCCUUACGACCAGGGCUACACACGUGCUACAAUGGUAGGUACAGAGGGCAGCUACACAGCGAUGUGAUGCGAAUCUCAAAAAGCCUAUCGUAGUCCAGAUUGGAGUCUGCAACUCGACUCCAUGAAGUCGGAAUCGCUAGUAAUCGCGGAUCAGAAUGCCGCGGUGAAUACGUUCCCGGGCCUUGUACACACCGCCCGUCACACCAUGGGAGUUGAUUGCACCAGAAGUGGGUAGCCUAACUUUUAGAGGGCGCUCACCACGGUGUGGUCGAUGACUGGGGUGAAGUCGUAACAA